GUGAGGAAUUUUCCGCAAUGGGCGAAAGCCUGACGGAGCAAUGCCGCGUGAAGGAUGAAGGCCUAUGGGUUGUAAACUUCUUUUCUCAGAAAAGAAUUAUGACGGUAUCUGAGGAAUAAGCAUCGGCUAACUUCGUGCCAGCAGCCGCGGUAAGACAGAGGAUGCAAGCGUUAUCCGGAAUGAUUGGGCGUAAAGCGUCUGUAGGUUGUUUAAAAAGUAUUCUGUCAAAGAUUAGGGCUUAACCCUAGAUAGGCAGAAUAAACUUUUAAGCUAGAGUUUGGUAGAGGCAGAGGGAAUUCCCGGUGGAGCGGUGAAAUGCGUAGAUAUCGGGAGGAACACCAAAGGCGAAGGCACUCUGCUGGGCCAAUACUAACACUGAGAGACGAAAGCGAGGGGAGCAAAUGGGAUUAGAAACCCUUGUAGUCC
This 426-nucleotide ribosomal RNA is filed under the name uncultured bacterium. Its description in RNAcentral is "partial 16S ribosomal RNA". It matches the Rfam family "Bacterial small subunit ribosomal RNA", at positions 354 to 796 of the family's 1533-position model. The record is from RNAcentral.